CCCCCCCAACAGAACCCCUUAGACAUUCCUCCAAAGCAGAUCCCCCCCUGUCUUUUGUUGGGUUGCUCUAGUUGUCUCAUGCUUUCUUUUUUACUGCUUUGAAGCAGGUGAUGACAAAAAGCUAAAAGCAUCAAUCUCCCAUGUGUGUGUGUCGCGUACGCACGCUACAGGGUAACCACACUCCCUCCCAGCCUCCAUACAGGGUAACCACACACACCCCAGCUUCUCUACAGGGUAACCACCCUUUCGCUUCUCUACAGGGUAACCACACACCCCCAGCCUCCAUACAGGGUAACCACACACACCCCAGCCUCUCUACAGGGUAACCACACAUCCCCAGCCUCCAUACAGGGUAACCACACUCCCCCCCAGCCUCCAUGCAGGGUAACCACACUCCCCCCAGCCUCUAUACAGGGUAACCACACUCCCCCUGCAUGCAGGCUGGAGGCUGGCUAAAAAUGAAAACAAUUUACACCAGCCAGCGAAAGAAUGCACAAGAUUUAGCAUCAGACUGAAAUGGGUUGUCGGUUCGAUCCCAGGAUCUGCUAACCCGCAUGUCGUUGUGUCCUUGGGCAAGACACUUAACCCAACAUUGCUCCUGUAGCUGUGACUACAGUGUGUGGAUGGUAGUUACUGAUGGCAGGUGUCACUGUGUGUGGUUCUCCUGUCAUCAGUGUGUGAAUGGGUGUGAAUGGGUGAAUGAUGUCAUGUAGUGUUAAAGCGCUUUGAGUGGUCAGAAGACUAGAAAAGCGCUAUACAAGUACAGGCCAUUUACCAUUUAGCCCCCCCCCCCCAGCCUCCAUGCAGGGGAACCACACCUUCUCUGCUUGCUGGAUCAACACUGAAGGGGGAGCUGAAGGACAAGUGCACAUUGUGCGCUUUUGUCGUAAUCGUGUUUUGAUUGGAUUAGAAUGUGGGAUUUUUCCGUAUCUGCCGCGCUCCGUGUGCCAUAUGGCGUGAUGGAUGCCAGUUAGCGACAGAGCCAGAGUCAGGUGUGAGUUUGAUUGCUUUUGUUGGCUGAGCAGAGCUUCUCCUUGGCCCGCCACGGUCCUUCAAACCAGGGCUGUGGUCGUACAGUUGGAGUAGUCCAAAUGGGGGCCGAGGCGGGGUCAAAGUGCCCAUUGAACAGGGUUCAUACCUUCGUCUUAAAGCUGCAGUGUGCUCCGUAUUCUUUUGUUAACGGUGGUAGAAAAUGACUCUCCUCAGACCGCCUCGGCGUCUUUCAACCUGUUAUCCUGAGCUGGGCUUUUGAGCCGCGACAAAAGGCAUAGUUUAACCCGAAUCGGAGGAGGUAAAGUUACCACAACAUUUGUGCAAGAGAAGCAGUGAUGCUACAAAACUGUGGGGAAAAUACCUGUGUGAGCAACUACAACUGGCGGACUGAUGGCUCCAGUAGUUGUAAAUUAUCCACGGACGGACAAACAGAUGCUCACACACACUCACACACAAACACAACAAAACACGUGAUCUCCCCACAGAAGGAACCUGGCGGAGAUUAAAAAGUAACAAGACUAGAAAUGAUCGUUUGUGUCCCUUGUGUCUGCUGGAUGUGUAACCACCAUAAACGUGUGGACUGUUGUUACGAAGCUUCGCCCCGUCGGGUUCCGACCGACACCAUUAUUCAUUUUUAAACCAGUGAAUGGAAGUUCCCACAUCUGGCGGAGGAGUGAUGUGGAGGUGCCGUAUACAGCUGUGGAAGCAGCAACAUACCUGUCAAUCACAAAGCAUUUCCCUGCUUGAUGUUCUAUUUGACUCUAAAUGGACCAUUAUUCACAAAAUCAACAUCAUGCUGUGUUGAAGAAGACAAACCUAGAGAUUGAGAUGAACUCAUU
Long non-coding RNA from Gasterosteus aculeatus aculeatus (three-spined stickleback), 1832 nucleotides. The record is from Ensembl. NCBI's taxonomy places the organism in Eukaryota, Metazoa, Chordata, Actinopteri, Perciformes, Gasterosteidae.